AUUACAGUAAGAUAUAAUGAGUCUAUUAUAAUUAUAGUAAGAUAGAGUUGCCAAGUUUUUUACUGCAAAAGGCAAACUUCUUUUUUUAAAUUGAGUUUCCAAACUGAGAGUCCCUCUCAGUAGGGCAGGUAACUGGUAACAAGUGGUCAUUUUUUAGAAAGCCUUUUAUGGAGACUACUGUGUUGUUCAAAGUCAGUCAUGUGAAGACUUCUGUGAAAAAUCUCUUCCAGAAUUUAGAGUUAGGGAAUGACUUUCUCCCACUGACAUCUUUCGUACAUUGGAAAAGGAAAGCCACUCACAGUCCUGCUCGUUUUGCUUUGACUGUCAAUGCCUUGGUGCUAAGUUUUUAUGUUCUGUUGCAGAAAGGUAGGUUAGCAUGAAUUUGCUUUUUCUUUUGUCUUAUUACUCAUUUUAGUGUUUUCUUUUUCAGUUUUAUGACUUUGGUGCCUGAUAUCUCAAGCUUUCUCAAAACUCUUUUGUAAGCUGGAGGAGAGAAAUAAGCGAAGACCUGCACAAGAGAGGGGGGUGGGGAACAGAGAAAGUCACUUCUCAGCACCGAAGAGGAAAGUGCUGACCCAGCGCGGGGCACUGGGACUCAGAGCCCAACUCCAGAGCAGAUGGCCGCUGCACAUUCACAUUAAUCACGCAGCUUCCUGCAUGUCAGAUUCAAGAUCUGAUCUGGAGACAAGACCAACAAGGGAUGAUUCCUUGGACAUGUAUGUGUGUUUACUGUUAAAAGGUAAACUGAGACAUAUUAAAACUUUAAGAGUUUAUUUGAGCAGAAAUCUGUUUGAAUUGGGUCGCACCAAACCGGAAGUGUUUAGAAGUGUUCUACUGGCAGGAGCUCAGGCAGACACUUUUAUAGAGAAAAGGUGGAAGUGGAGUGAGGAAGUUAUUAAUUGGCUAAACUUAAAGCCUAGUUGCUUACAUAGGCUGCCCGACGUUAGAACCACAUCAGUCUAA
Molecule: long non-coding RNA, 963 nt
Filed under: Felis catus (domestic cat)
Lineage: Eukaryota; Metazoa; Chordata; Mammalia; Carnivora; Felidae
Description: lncRNA (ENSFCAG00000046224.2)
Source: RNAcentral